Molecule: long non-coding RNA, 3879 nt
Organism: Myodes glareolus (Bank vole)
Lineage: Eukaryota; Metazoa; Chordata; Mammalia; Rodentia; Cricetidae
Source: RefSeq, a predicted model, not a curated record
CACGCGCGCAGGGAGAGCGCGAGGCUGUCUCUCACCCCCCCUUCCUUCUCCAGCUUGGCCCAGACCGGUUCCAACCUGCUAGGACCGGUCCCAGCUUCCUCAACUGUCACCAACCUCUGGUCGGGCCGUGGGGCGGGAAACUCGGUCCCGGCCUCCGAGUUGGGAUGGCAGGAGCUCGGUCUCGAGUACACACUUCUCAGGGUAGGCCUUGGAGGCCCGAGCGUUCCUCAGACCGUAAAACCACAGGACCAGGCUCUUGGGGAGCGAGAAGUCCACUACAUGACAACUAUGUUAGACACUAAAGAAGGCUUCCCCUCAGUCCAUAUGCUUCUGCUCUGACUGGUGAUUUCUGUCAUCCUACAAAGACUGACUUAUUGGUGAGGGCAGCUGGACAACUCUGAGAGCAACAACUUAGAGCAAUGCAUCUUGGGCAUACUGUGCUCUGGAGAUAGCACCCCAUGUAAGUGCAAAAAACAAGACACCCUCGUGGACCUACACUUCCCGCUUCCAACACCCUGAUGCCUGAAGUGUGUAGAGUUUGACAACAGUGCCGAGACUGAGGAGAAAGAGAAGAUGGAAAGGAGUCUAGCAAGUAAAAAUGUCGUAGCGUUCUGUGUGGUGACUUUUCCUGUUGGUGGCUCGGUUUAUUUAGGAGAUAAAGAAGAUACUGAGGCCACUGGCAGUUUCAUCAUGUCCUAAGUAGAGGGGUGAACGAGAUGUCCCGUUCAGUAAAGUGCUUAUCUCUUCUAAGCAUGAGGACCUGGGCUUGAAUCCCCGGCAUCCAGAUUAAAAAGCUAGGCAUGGCAGCACAUGCCUGCAAGCCCAGCACUUGUGGAGACAGGAAGAUCUGGCCAAAUUGUUGCACUCCGGUUCAGUGAGAGCCUCUGUUUUAACAAAUAGGUGGAGUGCAAUAGAGGAAGACCCCAGCGUCAGCCUCUGGCCUCCACACACGUGCACCUCUAUCCAUGCACACAUACACGUGUAACUACAAAAAUAAAGGAAAAUUAAAACCAAGUGGGAAGUUUUUCUCCUCAUUCUAUGUAGUGGGUCACAGGUAUGGAUGACAUGGUAUAUUUCUAUAAUUGUGAUUACUCGAGCACUGGUAUUUAUAAAGUGUAUGUGAAACACAAAUGAACCUUGUUCCAUCCCCAUGAUAGCUUAGUGUGUAGUUUCCCAAAUUUAAAAAGAUUAAAAGUGACUUUCAUCUCAAGCAUUCCAGAUACGGUAUACUCAGCCUGUAAAGGGAAAUGCAUGCAUGAUUAAUAUGCAAAACAGAAUAAGAACUAUAAGAAAUGCCUAAGGUGGCUCUGGGUGUGGCUUAGCGGUAGAGUACCAUGUGCAAGGCUGUGGGUUCCAUCUCCAGCAUUUCCAGUGCAGGGGAGCUAACAGAUAGUUAGGUGGAAAGCAAGAAAGACUUCACAGAAGUGGCAUUCAGAAGAUUGAUUUCCAUUUAGUCCACCUUCGUUGGUUUCCUCAGGUAAGGAGUGAGACUUGAGCAAAGACAGGAAGUUUUCUUGCCGCUAGCACUGCAGCUAUGUCCAGAGUGGUGAGGAGGCCGAGUUGAAAACCCACACUGGGAUGGGUGGACGGGACUAGGAAUGCCAGGCCGAGCAGUGGUGGCCACUUAUUCGGGUUUCAGGAAGACCAACAAGUUCUUUUAAAAAGUCCUGUGUAUCUGACAUGGGGCAGUAGAAAUGGAAGUGUGGCUGUAAUGACCUAUUGCUUCUGUCCUUACCUGAGGAAUCCCUGUCCGGCAUGUGAGCCAUCUGCGUGUGACACUGUAGGCAUUUCUGCCUCAGUCAUGCAGGCUUCUUUUAGUGAGAGCCACUGGUGUCCAAAGCUAGGGACCACGUAUUAGCCUUCUUCCUGUCUCCUGUGUGCCUGCCAAGAUGCUGAUACCAAACUUUUUGUUUUAUUUUUGUUAUUGAGACAGAGUCUCACUGAGUUGUCCUGGCUAUCCUGGAAUCUUUUAUGUUGUAAAGGCUGGCUUCCAACUCAGAGAGAGCUACCUGCCUCUGCCUACUGAGUGCUGGGAUUAAGGGCGUGGGCAGUCAAGCCUGGCCUCAAAUGUUUUAAGUAGAUGAUAUCACGUGCCUUUAAUCCCAGAACUCAAGAGGCAGAGGCAGGUGAGUUUAAGGUCAGCCUGGUCUACGUAGUUCAUUUCAGGACAGCUAGAGCUACACAGAGAAACCCUAUCUCAAAAAAACAAAAGAAAAAAGGUUUUUGUUGUUUGUUUUUGAGACAGGGUCUUACUGUGUAGAACAAGUUGACCUCGGACUCAAGAGAUCUACCCUUCUCUGCCUGCGCCCAGUGGUGGGGUUAAAGGCUAUACCACCAUACCCUGUCAGACUUUCAGGAGCACCAAUAUUUAUUUUGCAAAUAAAAACACAGGAUAUUAUCUAGUGGUAACAUAGCUUGUACCCAUUAUCCUAGCUACUUAGACAAGACAGAAUAAUUGCCUAAGCCCAGCACUUUGAGGCCAGCCUGGACAUAUACAACGAGACCUUGUCUGAAGAGAACAUUGAAGUACAGGACACCAGCUAGAUAGAAUCACAGAUACACAGUGUGUAAUUCUACAGAAUCAGUGUGCCUCAUGCUGUGUGCAGCCAUACUUGUUUAUGCUAGGCAAGUACUCAUUGUUUAUCUGGAGCUCCAGCCUAAUUAGGUGUUCGGGUUUACUCUGCCGGGCCUUCGCACUUCCUCUUUCCUCCUGACCUCAUUUUCUACCUGAGUUACUCUCCUAGUGGACCAGCAUAUAGAAAGAAUGUCUUUUUCUCAAAGGAUUAGCCUAGUAGCUUAGAGCAUGGGUGCCCCAGCUUAGUGCCAGGGCUUGAUACCUGAAUAUAGCCAAGAAGGCACAGUUGUUUGUCUAGCCAGACAGACAAAUGGGAAAAAAAAACAAAGCUUCUGUUUAAAUGCCAGAGGAGCCAAGAGAGUGUAGAUCGUAGGGGCCUUUCAGUUUUCUCUUCGGUAUCUUAGAUGUACUUGGGACCCAGAGUUGAUACCUGUGGGUUUGCCUGCUGCACUCCCUUCUCCAGGCUCUCGGUUGCUCCUAUAGAGGCAGUUGGCACUCAUGGAACCAGAUACAUUGUUAUAUCCUACUGUUAAUUUUCUCCAGAGCAUUUAAUCUGCUAGCACCUUCUUCCUUUAAGCCUUCUUCCAUCCCAGUCUGGGUCAGGGUCCUUUUUGGUACCUAAGAUACCCGGAGCAGAGCCCCUUACAUUUCUUUCCAUCAGUCUCUCCUAAUCUUUUGUUUUGUGAAAGAGUUUCUCUGUUUAACCGUCCUGGAACUCACUCUGUAGACCAGGCUGGCCUCAAACUCAGAGAGAUCUGCUUGCCUCUGGCGUGCGUCAUCGCCAUCCAGCAGUCCCAUCUAUUCUUGUGUAUCUCCCAUGAAAACAUGAGCAGGACAAACAGUGUCCUCAUUGCUUGGCCCUGCGUCUGUACCCAGAUGUGCUGGGUUUAACAGGUGCUGCCUGACUCCAGACACUUCUGUUUGAUCCCGUCCCCGGUCCUGCCCACCCGGCCUGCUCUUUAUUGGACCAGGCCGCAGGAAUCUGGGCAGAAGUCCUAUGACUAUGUACUCCAGAUAUAAGCUCUGCCCGAGCCCAGGCAGCAGCUGGUUCAAAUCUGCUGCUUCUGCCUCACUUGCUUAGGUAUACAACAUUGCACAUGAUGCCCUCGGCAUCUCCUUACCUCUCAGCCCAUUGGUUGCUUGUAUUGUUGACUUGAGAAAAUAUCUGGAGAAAUUUGCCUGCCCAGUGGUCUCGAAGAUAGCAGGACUUGCUGAUCUGUUUGAUUCCUGGAACCCAUGUAAAGGUGGAAGGAGAAAACCAGCUCCACAAAGCUGUCCUCUGACCUCCACAUGUGUGCCAUGGC